AAUUCUCAACCCCUCUCGAUUUGCUUCGAUAGGGUGCUUGGAUACUGGGGGCUGCCGGAGACCUGGACUCUCGUCUAGGACUCGGGCUCUCCUGAAAUGAAUCGGCUUGCGGUCGACUUUCGACUUUGCAUGACAAGGCUUUUGGCGUGAUAAUGAUCGCCGUUCGCUGAAGUGCAUGAAUGAAUGGUCCCGUGCCUCUAAUGCGUCGACGCCUUUUUGGCGUCUUCCUUAUUGAC
RNAcentral lists this unclassified non-coding RNA (236 nucleotides) under uncultured Suillus. Its description in RNAcentral is "sequence contains ITS2". The record is from RNAcentral. Lineage: Eukaryota; Fungi; Basidiomycota; Agaricomycetes; Boletales; Suillaceae.